GUCUACGGUCAUACCACUCUGAAUGUCCCCUAUCUCUUCUGAUCUUGUCAACCUAAGCAGGGUGAGGCCUCGUUAGUACUUGGAUGGGAGACUAUGGUGAAGCUGAGCCAGGAUUUGAACCCA
This 123-nucleotide ribosomal RNA is filed under the name Cercocebus atys (sooty mangabey). Lineage: Eukaryota; Metazoa; Chordata; Mammalia; Primates; Cercopithecidae. The record is from RNAcentral.